This 492-nucleotide ribosomal RNA is filed under the name fungal sp. E14504I. RNAcentral describes it as "eukaryotic LSU rRNA". The stretch from base 139 to 292 matches the Rfam family "5.8S ribosomal RNA". Lineage: Eukaryota; Fungi. The record is from RNAcentral.
AACUCCCAAACCCCUGUGAACAUACCAACUGUUGCCUCGGCGGAUCAGCCCGCUCCCGGUAAAACGGGACGGCCCGCCAGAGGACCCCUAAACUCUGUUUCUAUAUGUAACUUCUGAGUAAAACCAUAAAUAAAUCAAAACUUUCAACAACGGAUCUCUUGGUUCUGGCAUCGAUGAAGAACGCAGCAAAAUGCGAUAAGUAAUGUGAAUUGCAGAAUUCAGUGAAUCAUCGAAUCUUUGAACGCACAUUGCGCCCGCCAGUAUUCUGGCGGGCAUGCCUGUUCGAGCGUCAUUUCAACCCUCAAGCCCAGCUUGGUGUUGGGACUCGCGAGUCAAAUCGCGUUCCCCAAAUUGAUUGGCGGUCACGUCGAGCUUCCAUAGCGUAGUAGUAAAACCCUCGUUACUGGUAAUCGUCGCGGCCACGCCGUUAAACCCCAACUUCUGAAUGUUGACCUCGGAUCAGGUAGGAAUACCCGCUGAACUUAAGCAUAU